This is a non-coding RNA of Bos taurus (domestic cattle), 72 nucleotides long. NCBI's taxonomy places the organism in Eukaryota, Metazoa, Chordata, Mammalia, Artiodactyla, Bovidae. The record is from Rfam.
UCCCAGGUAGCUCAAACAGUAAAGAAUCUGCCUGCAAUGCAGGAGACCUGGGUUCGAUCCCUGGGUUGGGAA